UACGUAGGGGGCCAGCGUUGUUCGGAUUCACUGGGCGUAAAGGGUGCGUAGGCGGUAAGGUAAGUCUGUUGUGAAAUCUCCGAGCUUAACUCGGAAACUGCAAUGGAAACUAUCUGACUAGAGGAAUGGAGGGGAGACUGGAAUACUUGGUGUAGCAGUGAAAUGCGUAGAUAUCAAGUGGAACACCAGUGGCGAAGGCGAGUCUCUGGACAUUUCCUGACGCUGAGGCACGAAAGCCAGGGGAGCAAACGGG
This 253-nucleotide ribosomal RNA is filed under the name uncultured bacterium. RNAcentral's name for it is "partial 16S ribosomal RNA". It matches the Rfam family "Bacterial small subunit ribosomal RNA", at positions 524 to 776 of the family's 1533-position model. The record is from RNAcentral.